GGAGAGGUGGCCGAGUGGUUUAAGGCGCACGCUUGGAAAGCGUGUGUAGGCUUAUACCCUACCGAGGGUUCGAAUCCCUCCCUCUCCG
RNAcentral lists this transfer RNA (88 nucleotides) under Nitrospinaceae bacterium. RNAcentral describes it as "tRNA-Ser". It matches the Rfam family "tRNA". Rfam says of the family: Transfer RNA (tRNA) molecules are approximately 80 nucleotides in length. Their secondary structure includes four short double-helical elements and three loops (D, anti-codon, and T loops). The record is from RNAcentral. Lineage: Bacteria; Pseudomonadati; Nitrospinota; Nitrospinia; Nitrospinales; Nitrospinaceae.